This 1291-nucleotide ribosomal RNA is filed under the name Tropiphorus elevatus. RNAcentral's name for it is "16S ribosomal RNA". The stretch from base 1046 to 1205 matches the Rfam family "Archaeal large subunit ribosomal RNA", at positions 2542 to 2701 of the family's 2987-position model. Lineage: Eukaryota; Metazoa; Arthropoda; Insecta; Coleoptera; Curculionidae. The record is from RNAcentral.
AUGAAAGUUGUUAUUAUAUAGAAUUUAAUUAAAGUAAUUUUAAAAAAAGUAUAUUUUAUUUUUAUUAGUUUAUACGAAUAAAUAAAUUUAAUUAUAGUGUAUUAGUAUUGUGAGAGAAUGGAGAGUUAUUAUAAAAAGAAGGAUUAAUUUUUUGUACCUUGUGUAUCAGGGUUUAUUAAAUAAAAAUUAAGUAUUUAAUUUUCUCGAAUCAAUAAGGGCUAUAUCUAUAUCGAUUUUUUUGUUGAAUAAAAAUUAUUAAUAUAAAUAUAGAGGUGAAAUAUUAUUCGAUUAUUGAGAUAUCUGGUUUUUAGAGAAAAAAGUAUAAUUUUUAUAUUAAUUUAAUAUAUGAUUUAAUUAUUAAUUUUAUAUUAUUAAUAUUUUAUAUUUUAAGGGAUGAGCUUUAAGAUAGAUUUUUCUAAGAUAUUAUUAUUUUAUGAUAAAGUAGGAUUGUAAGUUUUUAUCUUUAAGAGUGUGUUGUAACUUUUUUAAAAUAAAUUAUAAUUUAUAUAGUAAUCUUUAAGUAUUUUAUUUAAAUAAAAUUUUUCAUUUGAUUAAUUUUGUUAAAAUGAUAAAAUUAGUAUAAAAUUUUGUUUUUUAGUUUUGAUUUUAAAGGUUAAGUAAAGGAAUUCGACAAAUAUAUUUUUCACCUGUUUAUUAAAAACAUGGCCUUUUGAUUAUAAUUUAAGGUCUGGCCUGCCCAAUGAAUUUUAAAUGGCCGCGGUAUAUUGACCGUGCAAAGGUAGCAUAAUCAUUAGUUUUUUAAUUGAAAGCUGGAAUGAAAGGUUGGAUGAAAAAAUAAUUGUCUCUAUUUGAAUUAUUUAGAAUUUUAUUUAUAAGUAAAAAAGCUUAUAUAUAAUUAGAAGACGAGAAGACCCUAUAGAGUUUUAUUAAUUAAUAUAAUGAAAUUUUUAGUAUUUAUAUUUUUUUAUAUAUAAUUAAAUUGAUUGGGGUGAUUGAAAAAUUUAAUUAACUUUUUUUUAUUAUACACAUUAAUUUAUGGAUAAUUGAUCCUUAAUUAAAGAUUAUAAGAUGAAAUUACCUUAGGGAUAACAGCGUAAUUUUUUUAGAGAGUUCAAAUCGAAAAAAAAGAUUGCGACCUCGAUGUUGGAUUAAAAUAAAAUUUUGGUGUAGAAGCUAGAAUAUUUAGGUCUGUUCGACCUUUAAAAUUUUACAUGAUCUGAGUUUAAACCGGUGUGAGCCAGGUUGGUUUCUAUCUCUAAUAAAAUUAAAUAUCUUAGUACGAAAGGACCAGGUAUUUGGUUAAAAACUUAAUUUAAGAAUAUUAAUAAUU